Strigops habroptila (Kakapo) is the source of this 1810-nucleotide long non-coding RNA. RefSeq lists it as uncharacterized. The transcript has 3 exons. The record is from RefSeq and is a predicted model, not a curated record. NCBI's taxonomy places the organism in Eukaryota, Metazoa, Chordata, Aves, Psittaciformes, Psittacidae.
UAAGCACUUUAUAGAUCAAAACAAAUAGAUUUGCUUUUGCAAGAUAUAACAUGGGCUUCUGUGUCAGAGAGAUUCCAGGCUUGGGACUUCCAGUGUGAAAAGGUCUUGAUGCUCCUCUGCUUGCUAGUCCACAGACUAGCUUUAUGAGACUGUGGCUUCCAGUUUUCUCAGCCCAGUCUCUGGGGUUUUGUGUUUUAGCUUUACGGAUUUUGCAGCUCAAAUCCUGCUAUCUUGUGUUUGAUCCACCAACUGCCCAAAGAUACUUAAUCUGCAUUAUUUAUGAAGAGCAGAGUGUUCAGCACUAGAUCUCCAGUCUCAACACUGGGUUCUUCAAAGUCACUGGACUGAAAACUCCUAGUUUUCACAGUGUGGGUCAAGCCAUCACCAGAUGUGGUAAUUUCAUAUUUAUCAUCAAACUUCAACUCUUUCCCACUGAACUUCUGUGUGAAGUUUUGCACUUUAUUUGGCAGGGGGAUUUCAAACAGUGCUGUCUGUCUUUCAGUCACUUUCAGUGGUUUCAGUUCUGUCAGGAGUUAGGGGCCCACCUGCUAAAAUACCAAAAAGAUAAACAUUCACUCUACUAUUUUUAGUUCCUGAUCUCAAAUUUCCUACACUAAAUAGAAAGACAUCAAUGAAGUAAUUUUGCUUUCUUUCUUGAGUGGUAGCAGAAAGAUCAAUUUAUUCCUUCAACUUCAGUGGAAAUUAAGCCACAGUUCAUUAUUUUCAAUAAAAGUUGCACAUAAUCCCACAAAGCUAAUUACCAACAGACACACUGCUUUUCUGUUCAGUUCUUCUGUCUUAGCUCUGCUGUUUCUUCUCCUUUGCUGUAGGUCAUUGUAAAGUAAAUGGUUUCAGGCAACUGCAGAUGAUCUCUAUAAGCAUACCUGGAACCAUUUGGCAAGCUGAAGGAGGGCUGCCAUCUUCCUGCGUUAUCCAUCAAGAGUGCUGCAGUGCCUGGCACAGGAUCACUAUUUGGCUUACGUAAGGUGAUCUACCAUACUACCAAACAGCCUGUGCCCAAGCCCUGCUAGAGGCUUUAUUAAAAAGCCUGAAGACCAAGAAGACAACAGUGGAUGUAGUGAAACUAAUCACAUCUGGUUUUCCUUCUUCUGACACAGGAGUCAAAGAGACAAACAAGCUAAGCAUGCAAAGAAGAAAGAGCAAAAGGACCUAUGCAGGAUUUUUUCCCUCUGCUCUCUGGAGAGAAGUGCUUCCUUUGCCUUUUUAGAGGAAAGCAGACACCUUGUGGCUGCUACUGGGACUAGGGGAGUUAAGGUCAGACAUAAUAAGAAAAUUUUGACUCAGGCAAACACUACUGUUUCCCAAAGGAUAAAUGCCUUUAGUAAGAUGCACAGCACUGCAGACUUCUCUGUCCCAAAACUUCUGAGAUGUAUUGAGGUUAAAAAGUAGGCAGAAGAGGCUGAGCCGUCUGAAUAGCAUCUAGCAAGACAGGCUCUCUUCAAGGGAAGAUAUGAUCCCCAGAAAACACUGGCUAUCAACAUUUUGGACUAAAACUAGUGCAAUAAAGUGAUUUAUUUAACUUAAUUUUAAGCCUAAGAAGCAAUAUGCAGAUUAAGUGAUGAAGAAGCAAUAGGGAACACAAGCUGAGUAGCAUGAUCCCAUAGAGUGAAAGGGCCAGGAACUGCAAUACCUGAGUCUUUUGCCAGACUGUUUAAGCUUUAUCUUCUCUGAUAUGAGCCAUAAGGCUAGCUCUGUUGCCCACACAGCUUUUGAGUAAAUAAUUUAGCCUUUUUCUGCAUCGAUCUUUACUAUCAACUGAAUAAACCUGGCACUGCUGCCCUGCUGAGAA